UACGUAGGGGGCAAGCGUUGUCCGGAUUUAUGGGGCGAAAAGAGCGUGUAGGCGGUUAGGUAGGUCCGUUGUGAAAACUCGAGGCUCAACCUCGAGACGCCGAUGGAAACCAUCUGACUAGAGUCCGGAAGAGGAGAGUGGAAUUCCUGGUGUAGCGGUGAAAUGCGCAGAUAUCAGGAAGAACACCCGUGGCGAAGGCGGCUCUCUGGGACGGUACUGACGCUGAGACGCGAAAGCGUGGGGAGCGAACAGG
Molecule: ribosomal RNA, 253 nt
Filed under: uncultured bacterium
Lineage: Bacteria
Description: partial 16S ribosomal RNA
Rfam family: Bacterial small subunit ribosomal RNA
Source: RNAcentral